RNAcentral lists this transfer RNA (76 nucleotides) under Rhodococcus phage Weasels2. Its description in RNAcentral is "tRNA-Arg". It matches the Rfam family "tRNA". From Rfam's summary of the family: Transfer RNA (tRNA) molecules are approximately 80 nucleotides in length. Their secondary structure includes four short double-helical elements and three loops (D, anti-codon, and T loops). The record is from RNAcentral. Lineage: Duplodnaviria; Heunggongvirae; Uroviricota; Caudoviricetes.
GCCUCCGUAGCUCAGCGGACAGAGCAAAUCACUUCUAAUGAUUAGGUCGCAGGUUCGAUCCCUGCCGGGGGCACAU